GCGCGCGCAGGCGGUUUGUUAAGUUAGAUGUGAAAGCCCCGGGCUCAACCUGGGAACUGCAUUUAAAACUGGUCACUAGAGUGUGAUUGAGGGAGGUGGAAUUUCACGUGUAGCGGUGAAAUGCGUAGAUAUCUGAAAGGAACACCGAUGGCGAAGGCAGCCUCCUGGAUCAAUACUGACGCUGAUGUGCGAAAGCGUGGGGAGCGAACAGGAUUAGAUACCCUGGUAGUCCACGCCGUAAACGAUGACUACUAGCUGUUGGGAAAUUAUGUCUUUCAGUGGCGCAGCUAACGUUUUAAGUUGACCGCCUGGGGAGUACGGCCGCAAGGUUAAACUCAA
This 339-nucleotide ribosomal RNA is filed under the name uncultured bacterium. RNAcentral's name for it is "bacterial SSU rRNA". It matches the Rfam family "Bacterial small subunit ribosomal RNA", at positions 565 to 904 of the family's 1533-position model. The record is from RNAcentral.